This 252-nucleotide ribosomal RNA is filed under the name uncultured bacterium. RNAcentral describes it as "partial 16S ribosomal RNA". It matches the Rfam family "Bacterial small subunit ribosomal RNA", at positions 524 to 776 of the family's 1533-position model. The record is from RNAcentral.
UACGGAGGAUGCGAGCGUUAUCCGGAUUUAUUGGGUUUAAAGGGUGCGUAGGCGGGCUUUUAAGUCAGCGGUAAAAAUUCGGGGCUCAACCCCGUCGAGCCGUUGAAACUGGGUGUCUUGAGUGGGCGAGAAGUACGCGGAAUGCGUGGUGUAGCGGUGAAAUGCAUAGAUAUCACGCAGAACUCCGAUUGCGAAGGCAGCGUACCGGCGCCCAACUGACGCUGAAGCACGAAGGCGUGGGUAUCGAACAGG